Molecule: long non-coding RNA, 1506 nt
Organism: Portunus trituberculatus (swimming crab)
Lineage: Eukaryota; Metazoa; Arthropoda; Malacostraca; Decapoda; Portunidae
Exons: 2
Source: RefSeq, a predicted model, not a curated record
AGUGGUGUUAGAAAUUAUGAGUGUCUGGAAUGUGGAAAGAAAUUCACCACAAAGUCUGAUCUCACCACACACACCCUGACACACAGUGGUGUUAGAAAUUAUGAGUGUGAGGAGUGUGGCAAGAAAUUCUUCACCAUUGGUGCUCUCAACAGACACGCUUUCAGACACACUGGCUUGAGGGAGUUCAAGUGUGAUGUUUGUGGCAAGUGUUUCAAGACUAAGGAUGACAUUGCCAAGCACAUGAAGAUCCACUUUUGAGGUGGUGUGUUGUGUGGACCGGUGUGGCCACACCCGUGCCUGUGGGAGUGUGUGGUGGUGGUGGUGGUGGUGGUGGUUUUUCUCUUUUCUUUCUUCUCUCGCGUUGCCUCACCCCGACCUUGGCCUGACCUUCCAGCCUUUGGUCCUCGGCACAGCCAGGUGAAGCACGCCUUCAGUGGGAACCGGUCUGUCUCCCGAGGGUGUCACCAAGGCUCUCCAUCUCCAGCAGGACGUGGCGGGGGUCAAGAUGGCAGGCAAGCAAGACGUUGGUGUGUGUUGGAUGCCUGCGUGACUCCAUGCUACGCUGGCCUGCCACACCACAGGAUACAUUGAUGAUAGUGUCACCUCAGCACACACUACACUGUUGUCAUGUGUGGCAGUGCCUGUAAGGACACCACACCCCUGUGGUCUGUUAUUGUAAGGAGUGUGUUUGUUGUAUACUGGGAUACAAGGUAGAAGGAAGCAGUGUACACCUAGUUUUGUACUUGUUGUAUUGUGAGGGGUGUGUACUUUGUGUAUUGUGGGUUGUAAGACUAAGUAGUAGUAGUUUACACCUAGCCUUGUGUAUCUUGUGAGGGGUGUGGACUUUGUUGUAUUGGAGUUUGCAGGCAGUGUUGUAUGUACUGUGUUUGUGUUGUGAGGUGUAAGGAGAGCAGACACUUGUAGUGUGUGUGUGUGUGUGUGUGUGUGUGUGUGUGUGUGUGUGUGUGUGUGUGUGUGUGUGUGUGUGUGUGUGUGUGUGUGAGUGAGUCCCUUGAUCAAAUCACUGCCUGGAGUUUCAUUAGGCAACUGGUGUUUGUGUAAUUGUAAAGUAUCUUUUUAUCUCUAUAACCAUUAACCAGUGCUGCUUUAAUGAUGUUUUUGACAUAAUUGGUUUACAUCUUAAUAAUAUUUUUAGCCACAUAUAUUUACAGUCUAAAAUGUCUGUUUCAAUGAGGCAUAUCUGAGCACUGGUUAACCCCUUCAGUACUGGGACACAUUUUUACCUUGAGUUUUGGAUAAGAUUAGACAAUUUCACUAACAUUAGGAAUGGUCUAUGAAGGCCACAAGAUUGAUAACAACAGUCUUCUUUAUUUUAAUGUGUUGCUGUAUAAAAUCAGCAAAUAGUGAGCAGAAUGAAUAUGGAAAUGUUUUGUGGUACUGAAGGGGUUAAGUGUACCUGUGUGUGAUGACUGAUUCCUUCCAAGGCACCUGUAGAUCUGACUGUACUGAGAUGUGAAGUUGUGACUAAUAUAUUUUUGUUGACCA